GAUGAACGCUGGCGGCGUGCUUAACACAUGCAAGUCGAACGAAGCACCUUGAUUUGAUUCUUCGGAUGAAGAUCUUGGUGACUGAGUGGCGGACGGGUGAGUAACGCGUGGGUAACCUGCCUCAUACAGGGGGAUAACAGUUAGAAAUGACUGCUAAUACCGCAUAAGACCACAGCACCGCAUGGUGCAGGGGUAAAAACUCCGGUGGUAUGAGAUGGACCCGCGUCUGAUUAGGUAGUUGGUGGGGUAACGGCCUACCAAGCCGACGAUCAGUAGCCGACCUGAGAGGGUGACCGGCCACAUUGGGACUGAGACACGGCCCAAACUCCUACGGGAGGCAGCAGUGGGGAAUAUUGCACAAUGGGGGAAACCCUGAUGCAGCGACGCCGCGUGAGCGAUGAAGUAUUUCGGUAUGUAAAGCUCUAUUAGCAGGGAAGAAAAUGACGGUACCUGACUAAGAAGCACCGGCUAAAUACGUG
RNAcentral lists this ribosomal RNA (479 nucleotides) under uncultured bacterium. RNAcentral describes it as "partial 16S ribosomal RNA". It matches the Rfam family "Bacterial small subunit ribosomal RNA", at positions 28 to 507 of the family's 1533-position model. The record is from RNAcentral.